CUAUCAUGCCAAGUGGAUAUUACUCGGGUUGAAAGUUGUUCACAAAAACGUAGUUCACUUGAAAAAUCAAACUUAGUUCACUGGUCAAAAUUGUCGAUGACGUCGAGAGAAAAAUAGCGAAUCCGAAAUUGGGAGCUAGUCCUAGUUACAAGCGGCUUCCGUGCUCAGAAACGCUACGCAAAACAAUCCUUGCUAAUCUUCAAAAACUGUGCAAUACUUUUUCCUAAGUUUCUGUGAAGAGAGAAGUAAUGUAAGGAAGAAAGGGAAAAUCCGAUGGCUACGUUGGUUAUGAUCGAUAGUACGCUGAGAAAUUUCACGUUGAAAAUUCUACUACUUCAACUAGGGCGCUAAUCCUGAUUACAAACGACUUGGAAACGCUACUAUCAGUAUCAAUGUGCAAUACA
This is a long non-coding RNA of Bradysia coprophila, 404 nucleotides long. The record is from RefSeq and is a predicted model, not a curated record. NCBI's taxonomy places the organism in Eukaryota, Metazoa, Arthropoda, Insecta, Diptera, Sciaridae.